Molecule: ribosomal RNA, 1434 nt
Filed under: Triticum aestivum (bread wheat)
Lineage: Eukaryota; Viridiplantae; Streptophyta; Magnoliopsida; Poales; Poaceae
Description: partial small subunit ribosomal RNA
Source: RNAcentral
AUGAUUGAGGAUAUGGCUGGAAGAAUGGAUGACACAUUCUUUAUGGCCUGGCUUGCGGUUGCCUUUAGCACUUUCCUAGCACCAACCACGGCCUUGAAGCUCAGCCCAAAGUGUUACGGACUUGUGCUAGAUCAUGAAAUGAUCAAGAACACAAACAUCUGCCUCUUUGUAGCAGAACACAUUAACAAAGCUUUCCGGAACAUGGACCAGGAGAAGCAAACUAUCUGCUGCUGCUUGUAUCACUUGAUGAUACUAUACCUUGAUGCGCUUGUCCACGACAUCCCAGUAAGAAACUGCGCGAUACGAUCGAAUGCAUGGGAUAGUGCUCUAAUUGCCAAGGUGAUCAAGAAGGAUACCAUCUCUCCUGUGGAGUAUAGAGGCACGGAGCAGACACCACUGUUUGGUGGAAUUUUGCAAGCUGAAGCAUUCGUGGCAUCCAAGUUACCAAUAACCUACAAUCCACAGAAAAAGGCAAAGAUUGCGAAAGUGGUCAAUGACCUGUGCAAGGAGGAGGAGGAGGAGGAGGAGGAGGAGGAGGACAAACAAGAAGAGGACAAAGGAGAGGAGGAGGAGGAGGAAGAAGAUAGUGAGGCAGAGGAGGAGGAAGAAGAAGGUGAGGCCGAAGAGGGGGACGGGGACAAAGGCGUAGCAGUUGAUGGCAGUGAGAGGGGAGAAGACAAAGGCGCAGCAGUUGAUGGCAGUGAGAGGGAAGAAGACGACGAUGAAGAAGACGAGGACGGUUAUGGUGAUGAUGUUGGGGGAUCCAAUGGAGGUAGCGACAGCAGUGAUGAUGACGAUGAUGACAACGCCCCUGGUUGUGGUGGUACAGGAGGCAACACAUCCAGGAGGACUAGCACUUCUGCCACCCCUGCCAGCAGCAGCAAUUCAUUGAGUAGCAGGAGCACACUACAGAUGUUAAUCGACAAAACUUGCUGGAAAGACAAGGAUUUGCCGAAGUCAAAGAAAAAUGACGAAGCAGAGUCUCAGGGCAGCAUUGAUAUGUUCAAACUCUGCAACUUGAAGCCAUCUUUGGCAACCACCUUUCCUGUUCCAGAUUUUAGCGACCAAGAUAUGUGUGAGAAGAUCAACUUUACCAUUGACAAGAGCCUGUUGUUAUCAAGUGUUGCUGAAAAGAAUCAAGUUGACAUGGAGGAAGCAGGAAAAGGUCUUGACUGGGUUUAUUCAAAGGAAAAAUACAAGGAAUAUUUGAAGCAGCUUCCAGACCUAAGCUCCGCCAAGAGCAAGGCAGAAUCCAUGGCAAACCCUCACGUGGUCCAGAAGCGCAAAGCAGUUUCAAUGAAGAAGAAUCUACAGUUGCCUCAAACCAAGGAGAAGAUGGCGAGUGCAGAUGCUGAAGUAAAUAUGGUCAAGGAAGCUGUGCUUCAAACUGAUACGCCAACUGUAGUGAGCAGAGAGCCAACCACCAUCACAUGA